This 468-nucleotide ribosomal RNA is filed under the name uncultured bacterium. RNAcentral's name for it is "partial 16S ribosomal RNA". It matches the Rfam family "Bacterial small subunit ribosomal RNA", at positions 28 to 507 of the family's 1533-position model. The record is from RNAcentral.
GACGAACGCUGGCGGCGUGCUUAACACAUGCAAGUCGAACGGAAAGGCCCUGCUUUUGUGUGGUGCUCGAGUGGCGAACGGGUGAGUAACACGUGAGUAACCUGCCCUUGACUUUGGGAUAACUGCAGGAAACUGGGGCUAAUACCGGAUAGGAGCUCCUGCUGCAUGGUGGGGGUUGGAAAGUUUCGGCGGUGGGGGGUGGACGCGCGGCUUAUCAGCUGGUUGGGGGGGUAGUGGCUUACCAGGGCUUUGACGGGUAGCCGGCAUGGGAGGGUGACCGGCCACAUUGGGACUGAGAUACGGACCAGACGCCUACGGGAGGCAGCAGUGGGGAAUAUUGCACAAUGGGCGGAAGCCUGAUGCAGCAACGCCGCGUGCGGGAUGACGGCCUUCGGGUUGUAAACCGCUUUCGCCUGUGACGAAGCGUGAGUGACGGUAAUGGGUAAAGAAGCACCGGCUAACUACGUG